CCCUACGGGGCGCAGCAGUGAGGAAUAUUGGUCAAUGGGCGGGAGCCUGAACCAGCCAAGCCGCGUGAGGGAAGAAGGUACAGCGUAUCGUAAACCUCUUUUGUCAGGGAACAAAGGCGGGGACUAGUCCCCGGAUGAGGGUACCUGAAGAAAAAGCAUCGGCUAACUCCGUGCCAGCAGCCGCGGUAAUACGGAGGAUGCGAGCGUUAUCCGGAUUUAUUGGGUUUAAAGGGUGCGCAGGCGGCCUGUUAAGUCAGCGGUAAAAGCCCGAGGCUCAACCCUGGCGAGCCGUUGAAACUGGCGGG
Molecule: ribosomal RNA, 305 nt
Filed under: uncultured bacterium
Lineage: Bacteria
Description: bacterial SSU rRNA
Rfam family: Bacterial small subunit ribosomal RNA
Source: RNAcentral